UCCGAGUUGUCCCCGGCAGUCCUCUUAGAGUCCCCGGCAUUACCCGCUGGCAACUAAGAGCAGGGGUUGCGCUCGUUGCGCCACUUAAGGCAACACCUCACGACACGAGCUGACGACAGCCAUGCAGCACCUGUGCAAGCUCCCCUUGCGGGGUCGUUCCGCUUUCACGGUCCUACCACUUGCAUGUCAAGGCCAGGUAAGGUUCUUCGCGUUGCAUCGAAUUAAACCACAUGCUCCACCGCUUGUGCGGGCCCCCGUCAAUUCCUUUGAGUUUUAAUCUUGCGACCGUACUCCCCAGGCGGGGUGUUUAAAGCGUUAGCGGCGCCACCGAAGAGCAAGCUCCCCGACGGCUAGCAUCCAUCGUUUACGGCGUGGACUAC
Molecule: unclassified non-coding RNA, 380 nt
Filed under: uncultured bacterium
Lineage: Bacteria
Description: contains 16S-23S intergenic spacer region
Source: RNAcentral